CGGACGGGUGAGUAACGCGUGAGAAUCUGCCCUCAGGAGGGGGAUAACAGUUGGAAACGACUGCUAAUACCCCAUAUGCCGAAAGGUGAAACGAAUUUCGCCUGGGGAUGAGCUCGCGUCUGAUUAGCUUGUUGGUGGGGUAAAGGCCUACCAAGGCUUCGAUCAGUAGCUGGUCUGAGAGGACGAUCAGCCACACUGGGACUGAGACACGGCCCAGACUCCUACGGGAGGCAGCAGUGGGGAAUUUUCCGCAAUGGGCGAAAGCCUGACGGAGCAACGCCGCGUGAGGGAUGAAGGCCUUUGGGCUGUAAACCUCUUUUCUCAAGGAAGAAGAUCUGACGGUACUUGAGGAAUAAGCCACGGCUAAUUCCGUGCCAGCAGCCGCGGUAAUACGGGAGUGGCAAGCGUUAUCCGGAAUUAUUGGGCGUAAAGCGUCCGCAGGCGGCCGUCUAAGUCUGUUGUUAAAUCGUGGAGCUUAACUCCAUCACGGCAAUGGAAACUGUUCGGCUUGAGUGUGGUAGGGGCAGAGGGAAUUUCCGGUGUAGCGGUGAAAUGCGUAGAUAUCGGGAAGAACACCAGUGGCGAAAGCGCUCUGCUAGGCCAUUACUGACGCUCAUGGACGGAAGCCAGGGGAGCGAAUGGGAUUAGAUACCCCAGUAGUC
Molecule: ribosomal RNA, 662 nt
Filed under: uncultured bacterium
Lineage: Bacteria
Description: bacterial SSU rRNA
Rfam family: Bacterial small subunit ribosomal RNA
Source: RNAcentral